Molecule: ribosomal RNA, 492 nt
Filed under: uncultured bacterium
Lineage: Bacteria
Description: partial 16S ribosomal RNA
Rfam family: Bacterial small subunit ribosomal RNA
Source: RNAcentral
AGUGAACGCUGGCGGUAUGCCUAACACAUGCAAGUCGAACGGCAGCACAGUAAGAGCUUUCCCUUACGGGUGGCGAGUGGCGGGCGGGUGAGGAAUACAUCGGAUUCUACUUUUUCGUGGGGGAUAACGUAGGGCAACUUACGCUAAUACCACAUACGACCUACGGCUGAAAUCAGGGGAUCUUCGCACCUUUCGCGACUGAAUGAGCCGAUGUCGGAUUAGCUAGUUGGCGGGGUAAAGGCCCACCAAGGCGACGAUCCGUAGCUGGUCUGAGAGGAUGAUCAGCCACACUGGAACUGAGACACGGUCCAGACUCCUACGGGAGGCAGCAGUGGGGAAUAUUGGACAAUGGGCGCAAGCCUGACCCAGCCAUACCGCGUGAGUGAAGAAGGCCUUCGGGUCGUAAAGCCCUGUUGUUGGGAAAGAAAAGCAGCAUGUGAAUACCCCGCUGUUCUGACGGUACCCAAAGAAUAAGCACCGGCUAACUUCGUG